This 218-nucleotide ribosomal RNA is filed under the name uncultured bacterium. RNAcentral's name for it is "partial 16S ribosomal RNA". It matches the Rfam family "Bacterial small subunit ribosomal RNA", at positions 15 to 229 of the family's 1533-position model. The record is from RNAcentral.
GAUCCUGGCUCAGAUUGAACGCUGGCGGCAGGCUUAACACAUGCAAGUCGAACGGUAACAUAAAGAAGCUUGCUUCUUUGAUGACGAGUGGCGGACGGGUGAGUAAUGCUUGGGAAUCUAGCUUAUGGAGGGGGGAUAACUACGGGAAACUGUAGCUAAUACCGCGUAAUAUCGAAAGAUUAAAGUAGUGGGGACCGUCGGUCGCCACUGCACAGAGU